Molecule: ribosomal RNA, 928 nt
Filed under: Burkholderia vietnamiensis
Lineage: Bacteria; Pseudomonadati; Pseudomonadota; Betaproteobacteria; Burkholderiales; Burkholderiaceae
Description: bacterial SSU rRNA
Rfam family: Bacterial small subunit ribosomal RNA
Source: RNAcentral
CAUCGGAACAUGUCCUGUAGUGGGGGAUAGCCCGGCGAAAGCCGGAUUAAUACCGCUUACGAUCUAUGGAUGAAAGCGGGGGACUUCGGGCCUCGCGCUAUAGGGUUGGCCGAUGGCUGAUAGCUAGUUGGUGGGGUAAAGGCCUACCAAGGCGACGAUCAGUAGCUGGUCUGAGAGGACGACCAGCCACACUGGGACUGAGACACGGCCCAGACUCCUACGGGAGGCAGCAGUGGGGAAUUUUGGACAAUGGGCGAAAGCCUGAUCCAGCAAUGCCGCGUGUGUGAAGAAGGCCUUCGGGUUGUAAAGCACUUUUGUCCGGAAAGAAAUCCUUGGCUCUAAUACAGUCGGGGGAUGACGGUACCGGAAGAAUAAGCACCGGCUAACUACGUGCCAGCAGCCGCGGUAAUACGUAGGGUGCAAGCGUUAAUCGGAAUUACUGGGCGUAAAGCGUGCGCAGGCGGUUUGCUAAGACCGAUGUGAAAUCCCCGGGCUCAACCUGGGAACUGCAUUGGUGACUGGCAGGCUAGAGUAUGGCAGAGGGGGGUAGAAUUCCACGUGUAGCAGUGAAAUGCGUAGAGAUGUGGAGGAAUACCGAUGGCGAAGGCAGCCCCCUGGGCCAAUACUGACGCUCAUGCACGAAAGCGUGGGGAGCAAACAGGAUUAGAUACCCUGGUAGUCCACGCCCUAAACGAUGUCAACUAGUUGUUGGGGAUUCAUUUCCUUAGUAACGUAGCUAACGCGUGAAGUUGACCGCCUGGGGAGUACGGUCGCAAGAUUAAAACUCAAAGGAAUUGACGGGGACCCGCACAAGCGGUGGAUGAUGUGGAUUAAUUCGAUGCAACGCGAAAAACCUUACCUACCCUUGACAUGGUCGGAAUCCUGAAGAGAUUCGGGAGUGCUCGAAAGAGAACCGGCGCACAGGUGC